AGCUGCCCAGCUACAGAGAAGCAAACUCCAACUCCCAGAAGCCCCUGCGCGGAGGCGGGGCGGGGGUUUGCCAGGCCCCGAAACGCCAACGCCUGAGCUCGCGGAGGAUGGCGGGAACUGGAAGAGCGGCGGUCUGCAGUCCUCCCCUCAUACCCUUUCCCCCGCGACCCGGCCCCUUCUCAAGCCCUCUGCACGGCCAAAGUGCCAUAAUACUGUCACAAUUUCCUGGGGGAUCUGCACAGCGCGAUCCGAAGACUUGUCCAUUCUAUGAGGGUUCUUGUUGAGUGUCAGCGGUAGAUUUUUUUUUCUCUUUAAGAAGAAGAAAAAAAAACCCUCAAAAAACUCCGUUGGAAUAAACACAGUUUUUAAUCCACAAAAGCAUUUUGUUUCUCACGAGUUACCAUGAAGUCUCUGCAGCUGGCUUUCUUAGCGAUUUUUUAAAGGAACACAAGGUCAGCUUUCAAUUUUCCAUGUUAAGCGUGGGCAGCAUAGAUGAGUAAAAGCUGCCCUUAAUCUCCAACCCUCCUUUGUAAAGGGCUUGUGCUCUGGAGGCUGUUAGCCGUGGUUUUCCUUAUAAACCGAGAGACUGGUCAGAGUAUCUCUGAACCUCAGCCUCCACAUCUGUAAAAUGGGCAUUUUACUCCCUUUUCUGGGUAAUUGUAAACCAUAAUAGAAUAAAGCAGUGUACACUGCACAGUUCAGAUUCUAAUAUAACAGGUACUAAGCAAAUUAUAGUUCCCUCUUCUUCUCCAGAUAGAUUCUUACAGUGAAUUUUACUUCUUACAAAAUCUUCCAGAGACAGGUCAAAUACUGUUGCAAUAACUGUUAACCAAAAUAUCAGUUUCAAGAUGUCCAAGCUUUAAUUGACAGAGUUAUUUAAUCAGUUGGAUGGAAAAAAUCUUAAAUGAUAUAAAAGAAUUUGGACAGGUCUUUCAAGUUUAUUGUAUAGAAAUUGAACUGUUGGCCUGGUACAGUCACUCACGUCUGUAAUCCCAGCAGUUUGGGAGGCCAAGGCAGGUGGAUAGCUUGCGCCCAGGAGUUGGAGACUAGCCUGGGCAACAUAUCAAGACUCUGUCUCAAAAAUAGAUAAAUUAAUUGAAAUUGAACUGUUUUGGUCACUAAGCAUGCCUGACUGACUCCAGGUUCACCUCCUUUUCCCUUCCCCUUUAGUCCCCAGGAGGAAGAAUUAAUAAGGAAUAAAGUGGUCAAAAAGCUGGCAAAGUAGAGGGUCAAAGGUAAACAGUGAACAUACAGGUCUCACGUUCACCCCAAAAGCACGUAUGUACAGCUGUAUACUAGGCAGUGGUGGUGGAAGAAGGGAAGUGCCAAAAUAGAGGGUACUUUUCUGCUGCUAAUAGCUGAGAAGAGGUUUUUUACAUAAAAAACAUAAUAGACGCUCAAAAUGUGUUGAAUGACUUAUACAUUUCCUUUUACAUGUAUUAUUUCCUAUCUCUUGAUUUAGUACUUUCUGUUGGAUGUUUUUACACUAGGAAAUUUCUGUACUAUAACAGAGCACAUCUACAAAACAUUUAAUCCGAUUCAUUUCAUUGCAUGCCUAAUCGAUAAAGAGUAAUGCAUAAAAACACAUUCUGCAUGAUCAUUUAGUUGCUUUUCUUGGAUUAUAGUACUUGAAUCAUCCAGCCUCCAAAGUAUCACUUUAAAGCCUGUACUCAAACUACCAAACAAUAGUUUUCUCAUUUUCUUAAUCUGAGUAACAGAUUAUGGAGUUAAGUGAGGCAAGAAAUCCCUCGAUCAAUAAAUGGAAAUGGAGUCAUAAUGAAAACACAAUUUAAAAAAUAUCUUCUUAACAGGAAGUAGUUAUGUAAAUCCUCAGUAAGCAUCAAGACUCUUCUUUGUUUAAGCUGUGUAUGAAAGUGGUACAGAUUUGGGUUGCAGGGUGAAAUAUGUUCAACGUACUAAUAAGAACCCCAGGGAACUUCUAGGGCAUAGGGCUCUUCUCCACUACCCACCUCAAAUAGUAUUGGACAGUUUAUUUUGUGUUUAUAGCCUUUCUCCUAGUUUAAAUGUGUACGUAUAUACCAUGCACACGUGCGUGUGCACACAUACUUAUUGUAAGGGUUUUUUACACUUUAAUUUGUAGUGGGCUAAAACGAGAUGACCAGGAAACUGUACACUAGGUAAAAGAUUUUUAAAGAGUUCAGAUGCCUGCUUAGGAGGAGCUAAUAGGGGAGAGAAAACUAGGGUGGUGGGGGGGCUAGUGGGGGGAAAGGACGUUGAACAAUGUAACCAAACCCAAUUAGAGACUUAAGACAAAACUUCAGCUGGGAUUUGGAAAAAAAAAAAAAAAAGAGAGAGAGAGAGAGA
Cercocebus atys (sooty mangabey) is the source of this 2325-nucleotide long non-coding RNA. RefSeq lists it as uncharacterized. The transcript is spliced from 2 exons. NCBI's taxonomy places the organism in Eukaryota, Metazoa, Chordata, Mammalia, Primates, Cercopithecidae. The record is from RefSeq and is a predicted model, not a curated record.